Molecule: ribosomal RNA, 606 nt
Filed under: uncultured bacterium
Lineage: Bacteria
Description: bacterial SSU rRNA
Rfam family: Bacterial small subunit ribosomal RNA (bases 1-518)
Source: RNAcentral
CCUACGGGAGGCAGCAGUGGGGAAUCUUGCGCAAUGGGCGAAAGCCUGACGCAGCCAUGCCGCGUGAAUGAUGAAGGUCUUAGGAUUGUAAAAUUCUUUCACCGGGGACGAUAAUGACGGUACCCGGAGAAGAAGCCCCGGCUAACUUCGUGCCAGCAGCCGCGGUAAUACGAAGGGGGGCUAGCGUUGCUCGGAAUUACUGGGCGUAAAGGGAGCGUAGGCGGAUAGUUUAGUCAGAGGUGAAAGCCCAGGGCUCAACCUUGGAAUUGCCUUUGAUACUGGCUAUCUUGAGUAUGGGAGAGGUUAGCGGAACUCCGAGUGUAGAGGUGAAAUUCGUAGAUAUUCGGAAGAACACCAGUGGCGAAGGCGGCUAACUGGCCCAUUACUGACGCUGAGGCUCGAAAGCGUGGGGAGCAAACAGGAUUAGAUACCCUGGUAGUCCACGCCGUAAACGAUGAGUGCUAGUUGUCGGCAUGCAUGCAUGUCGGUGACGCAGCUAACGCAUUAAGCACUCCGCCUGGGGGAGGUACGGUCGCGAGAGUAAACUAACUAAUAGUUAGUUAGUACGCGUUGAGACGNGCCGACGGACGACGACGAGGGAGGAGG